Molecule: ribosomal RNA, 422 nt
Filed under: uncultured bacterium
Lineage: Bacteria
Description: bacterial SSU rRNA
Rfam family: Bacterial small subunit ribosomal RNA
Source: RNAcentral
UGGGGAAUCUUGGACAAUGGGGGCAACCCUGAUCCAGCCAUGCCGCGUGAGUGAUGAAGGCCUUAGGGUCGUAAAGCUCUUUCGCCUGUGAAGAUAAUGACGGUAGCAGGUAAAGAAACCCCGGCUAACUCCGUGCCAGCAGCCGCGGUAAUACGGAGGGGGUUAGCGUUGUUCGGAAUUACUGGGCGUAAAGCGCACGUAGGCGGACCAGAAAGUUGGGGGUGAAAUCCCGGGGGCUCAACCCCGGAACUGCCUCCAAAACUAUUGGUCUAGAGUUCGAGAGAGGUGAGUGGAAUUCCAAGUGUAGAGGUGAAAUUCGUAGAUAUUUGGAGGAACACCAGUGGCGAAGGCGGCUCACUGGCUCGAUACUGACGCUGAGGUGCGAAAGUGUGGGGAGCAAACAGGAUUAGAUACCCUGGGUA